Molecule: transfer RNA, 69 nt
Filed under: Ictidomys tridecemlineatus (thirteen-lined ground squirrel)
Lineage: Eukaryota; Metazoa; Chordata; Mammalia; Rodentia; Sciuridae
Description: Spermophilus tridecemlineatus (thirteen-lined ground squirrel) tRNA
Rfam family: tRNA
About the family: Transfer RNA (tRNA) molecules are approximately 80 nucleotides in length. Their secondary structure includes four short double-helical elements and three loops (D, anti-codon, and T loops).
Source: Rfam by way of RNAcentral
GGGGCUAUAGCUCAGUGGCAGAGCACUUGCCUAGCAUGUGGGAGGUACUGGGUUCAAUCCUUAGCGCCA